RNAcentral lists this unclassified non-coding RNA (369 nucleotides) under Hevea brasiliensis (rubber tree). The record is from RNAcentral. Lineage: Eukaryota; Viridiplantae; Streptophyta; Magnoliopsida; Malpighiales; Euphorbiaceae.
AAGGGAAGUCCUGUUCCUUCAGUGUUCAUUCUCUCGUCCACAAGAGCAAGGGCUGGGCUUGACAUGGUUGCAGCACACACAGCAGCGAUUAGUGAUGCACUCAUGUCCUUGUUAGGCCCGUUUUCCCGCACAGAUGUCCUUUCCUCCAUGGAACAUCUCACUUUUCCCUUCACUGCUAUAGCUGGCAAGCCUGGAACCAAAUGUGAACUAUUCAAUUUUCAUCCUUAGAGAAGUCACAAAUGCAAUAUUUCAUGAGAAAAACGAAAAUAAAUCUUACCAAGAAUAUGGGAGGGGGAGAUCCCUGCUGAUCUCGUGCACAAGACUUGCACGAGUGAUUGAUGAGGUUGGAGUCCUGGCAGAGAUGGUGGC